AUGACAAUAGAUUUCUUGGUGAAGACAACUCGUUAUUUGCUCAACUUCAUCUCACAUUCUACAAGAAAUAGAUCAUAUAUAAUAAACAAAUCAAACACAAUGAGGUAUGAAAUUUCAAAGAGAAUUAAUAUUUACGAUUGGCGUUACCUUAUAAGCCUUCCAUAUAGUGUCUUUAUCUUGUUUUGA
Vicia faba (fava bean) is the source of this 186-nucleotide non-coding RNA. NCBI's taxonomy places the organism in Eukaryota, Viridiplantae, Streptophyta, Magnoliopsida, Fabales, Fabaceae. The record is from the annotation of a GenBank genome assembly.